GUCAGUUGGCCUUCUUCAUGCUGUGGAACUUAGGAUGGAUGCUACACUCCCAAGGAAAUGGUUGGGUAUCUUUACCCAGCGAAGAGGGCUAUACUUUGGGGUGUUUACUGAAGACCCAGGCAGGUUGAUUUUUUAAACUCUGCCAACUGCAUGUAUUGGAUUAUGGCUGGUGGGAAUGCACCAAGGACCCAGGUGGACAGUUUUCCUCUCUGGAUUGCAGCAGGACUCCCAGCACACCCCGAGAACCACAGCAGUCUUGAUCACAUCAUAUGGGGAGGAUCUGGGAGGUGUUUGGUUGGCUUGGGUUUGCGGUGGUAGCUGCUGCUUGUGAGCAGUGGGGUACUCUCUGGGCUCCAACCAAUGGGGUUGCCCAGUCUUCUCUGCCACGCCACAUGUGCGAGGACCUUGUGGCAUACUCACAGCUUUCAGUAAUGACUGGAGGAGAGGAAUUCUGCAUUGCUGGAACUCCAAGGGGGGGCUCAGACAUGCCUGCUCUCCAGUGUGCAGAUUCUCUCCUGUACCCAGUCCCUUCAGAACUCAACCAGGUUCCACUCCAGUCUUCUCAGGAUCCGUUAAAGAAAACUCCAAUCUUGGAUAUCUUGGA
RNAcentral lists this long non-coding RNA (604 nucleotides) under Rattus norvegicus (Norway rat). Its description in RNAcentral is "long non-coding RNA NONRATT026997". Lineage: Eukaryota; Metazoa; Chordata; Mammalia; Rodentia; Muridae. The record is from RNAcentral.